Molecule: long non-coding RNA, 273 nt
Organism: Eupeodes corollae
Lineage: Eukaryota; Metazoa; Arthropoda; Insecta; Diptera; Syrphidae
Exons: 2
Source: RefSeq, a predicted model, not a curated record
AACGCAAGAAAUUUUAAGUAUUUAAGCAAGCAAUUUCAAUGCAUUUUCAAUUUAGUAAAUCCAAAGUAAGAACAUGGGUAAAAUGUCGAUUUUUGCAACAGUUGUUUUUGGUGUCCUGGCAUUCCUGGUGAAUGCUGCAUAUUGUCAGGUUAACUUAAAUCUCCCAGGUGUUGUCAAUGCAACUGUUUUACCAUCAGGAGUAGGAAAAUAAUUAAUGUAGUAAAUCGAAAUAUGUAGUUAAAAUUGAAAAAUUAUUAACAAUUAUGUUCUGAA